RNAcentral lists this long non-coding RNA (1106 nucleotides) under Solanum tuberosum (potato). Its description in RNAcentral is "long non-coding RNA (STUB_LNC011739)". The record is from RNAcentral. Lineage: Eukaryota; Viridiplantae; Streptophyta; Magnoliopsida; Solanales; Solanaceae.
GAUAUUACUAAUACAGAUUAAAGUCUCUAGGAAAAAGCUAUUAGAUUCACGUGAACCCUUGAGUUACAAUAUUGUAGCUUCGCUUAUAUUUCUUACCUCCGUUUACAUAGAUAUCAGGUGGCAAACAGAAAUAACUAUAUGAAAAUAUUACUAUUACUAUUAUUAUUUGCUAGUUAAAAUGGAAAGAUAGCAACACACCAGGGGUGUAUUAAUGUAUGACACAAAUAUAUAUAGUAUUUAGUUAUAAAGCUAACGGCACAAGACAAACCUUAGAAUUGAACAUUGCUUUAUUGAGAUCAACUACUUUCACCUCAUCAGCAUUGUUCACACUUUCGAGACUCAGCGUACUCACAGAUAUUCCCUGUUGGACAAACAUCUUCAUUUCAUGGCAGUCAUGAAUUCUCAAUUCUCUGAGAAAUGGAAAUUCAGUAACACGCUUUGUCAAAAAGAAAUGCCUCAGCUUACGCAGUUCUUUAAGCUCCAACUUUUCCAAUAGGGGAAAUAAGGUCAUGAUUUCUUCUCCUUGUUGUUCCUCUUCUGUGAUCACUUCUUCCAUUGACACACAAUUGUGUAUUAAUAUUCUUCGUAGAUUCAGUGCACCCCGAGCCACUGAUGUUGACAUCAAGUUUCUCAAGUUUCCACAACUCGAUACAUACAAUAUUUCAAGUUUGCUGAAGUAGGCAGUUGGAAGUUGGUGAGAGCAUAGAGCAGUUAUGCUUUUAAGUGUCCAGAUGGUUAGAUCUUUCAAGUUGGGACAAGAAACCUGCAAACGUUGAAGUAUUAUAAAGCAAUUCAGAAUUUAAAAUUUAUAGAUAUCUCUAAUGAACUCAGGUUAAUAUCCAAUAACAAUCGCGUUUAUAAUCAAGAAAUUUCUAGAUAUUACUAAUACAAAUUAAAGUCUCUAGGCAAAAGCUAUUGAAUUCACGUGAACCUUUGAGUUACAAUAUUGUAAUUUCACCUAUAUUUCAUACCUCAGUCAACAUAGAUAUCAGGUGGCAACCAGAAAUAACUAUAUGAAAAGAUUACUAUUACUAUUAUUAUUUGCUAGUUAAAAUGGAAAGAUAGCACUAGACCAGGGGUGUAUUAAGGUAUGACACAAAUAUAUA